UACAGAGGGUGCAAGCGUUGCUCGGAAUUAUUGGGCGUAAAGGGUAGGUAGGUGGUCUUAUUUGUCUGGGGUGAAAGCCUCGAGCUUAACUCGAGAAGUGCCCCAGAAACGGUAAGACUAAAGUCUUGGAGAGGGUCGUGGAAUUCCCGGUGUAGCGGUGAAAUGCGUAGAGAUCGGGAGGAACACCAGAGGCGAAGGCGGCUAACUGGACAAGUACUGACACUCAACUGCGAAAGCGUGGGGAGCAAACAGG
RNAcentral lists this ribosomal RNA (253 nucleotides) under uncultured bacterium. RNAcentral describes it as "partial 16S ribosomal RNA". It matches the Rfam family "Bacterial small subunit ribosomal RNA", at positions 524 to 776 of the family's 1533-position model. The record is from RNAcentral.